UCCCUAGUAUGGCGAACGAACGGGGAAGAGCUCAUAGCCGAAUCCGGCGCCUUGAGGCGUCGGAAAUGUGGCGUAUGGGAGGCGGAUUCCUCCGAGUGCGACGGCUGGUACAAGUCCCCAUGAGAGGGGCAUGUUACCCAGAGCGGGUGCUAGGCCUGUACCGCCGGCCGUCCGCGCGCGGAGUUGCCGUUCUCCCGGGAGUCGGGUUGCUUGGGAGUGCAGCCCUAAGUGGGUGGUAAACUUCACCUAAAGCUAAAUAAGACCGAGAGACCGAUAGCGAACAAGUACCGUGAGGGAAAGUUGAAAAGCACUUUGAAGAGAGAGUUCAAGAGUACGUGAAACCGUUCAGAGGUAAACGGGUGGGCCCUCGAAGUCCGAAGGCGGUGGUGGAUUCAGCGGGGACUCGGUCUCGCCUUCUUUGACGUCACCCCACGACGGGGCCGUACAGAGGGGGUUAGGGUUCGGGUCCCGGCGCACUUCCACGCCCCGUCCAGUAGGGCGUCGCGACCAGUUGGAAGGCUGUCGAACGGGCGGACACGAAAGGUGGCCACAUUUCCUUCGGGAUCUGGGGUGUUACAGGCGGUCCAGCCCCGACGGGUCGUCCGACUGUGGUCGAGUAAAUCUCCAAAGCGUUCCCUUCCGGAAGGAAGCGGCCUCCUGGUUAAAGCACUCGGCGGAACGGCGUGCCACCAUCAAAGGUGAGCGCCUUUCGCCGGGGGUAUCCAGCUUGGGGUGCCGUGGGGGAGCUGGGGGUCGCGGCGAGUAGGUCGGUCGCCCACCCGACCCGUCUUGAAACACGGACCAAGGAGUCUAACGCGUGUGCGAGUUCCCGGGACUUGAAUAGGCCCGUGGGCGCAAUGAAAGUGAAGGUUGACUUAACGUCUUCCUAGUUGGGAUCCCGCUUCUGGCGGGCGCACCAACGGCCCGUCCAUCGCCGGUUUCGGCGGGGCGGAGCUAGAGCAUACGCUCUGGGACCCGAAAGAUGGUGAACUAUGCCUGGGCAGGACGAGGCCAGAGGAAACUCUGGUGGAGGUCCGUAGCGAUUCUGACGUGCAAAUCGAUCGUCAGACCUUG
This 1074-nucleotide ribosomal RNA is filed under the name Tuberocreagris sp. UAIC<USA-AZ> 1113028. RNAcentral's name for it is "LSU rRNA". It matches the Rfam family "Eukaryotic large subunit ribosomal RNA", at positions 77 to 914 of the family's 3401-position model. The record is from RNAcentral. Lineage: Eukaryota; Metazoa; Arthropoda; Arachnida; Pseudoscorpiones; Neobisiidae.